CCUACGGGGUGCAGCAGUGGGGGAUAUUGCACAAUGGGGGGAACCCUGAUGCAGCGACGCCGCGUGGGUGAAGGAGUGCUUCGGCAUGUAAAGCCCUAUCGGCAGGGAAGAAGCAAGACGGUACCUGACUAAGAAGCCCCGGCUAACUACGUGCCAGCAGCCGCGGUAAUACGUAGGGGGCGAGCGUUAUCCGGAUUCACUGGGUGUAAAGGGAGCGUAGACGGCCAUGCAAGCCAGGGGUGAAAGCCCGGGGCCCAACCCCGGGACUGCCCUUGGCACUGGGCGGCUAGAGUGCGGGAGGGGCAGGCGGAAUUCCUGGUGUAGCGGUGAAAUGCGUAGAUAUCAGGAGGAACACCGGCGGCGAAGGCGGCCUGCUGGACUGCGACUGACGUUGAGGCUCGAAAGCGUGGGGAGCGAACAGGAUUAGAUACCCGUGUAGUC
RNAcentral lists this ribosomal RNA (441 nucleotides) under uncultured bacterium. RNAcentral describes it as "partial 16S ribosomal RNA". It matches the Rfam family "Bacterial small subunit ribosomal RNA", at positions 338 to 795 of the family's 1533-position model. The record is from RNAcentral.